AGCUCCAAUAGCGUAUACUAAAGUUGUUGCAGUUAAAACGCCCGUAGUUGAAACUUGAUUGGCUGCCGGCUUGGUCGACCGAGACGGUAUGCACCGGUUGGCACCAAUCUCCUGCUGGGUGCUCGCCAAUGCUCUUAAGUGAGCGUUGGUUCCUCGCGAGGGGAGUGCGUUUCGGCGCGCUGGGCUCCAGUUCGUUUACUGUCAAUAAAUCAGAGCGCUUCAAGCAGGCUUUCAUGCCGUGAAUGCUCCAGGAUGGGAUAAUGGAACAGGACUCGAUUCUGUGUUUUGUUGGUUCGAGGAUUGAGUAAUGAUUAAUAGGAACGGUUGGGGGCAUCCGUAUUGCUGAGUCAGUGGUGAAAUACGUAGAUUUCAGCAAGACGAACCUAUGCGAAGGCAUUUG
This 400-nucleotide ribosomal RNA is filed under the name phytoplankton environmental sample. Its description in RNAcentral is "partial small subunit ribosomal RNA". It matches the Rfam family "Eukaryotic small subunit ribosomal RNA", at positions 587 to 957 of the family's 1831-position model. The record is from RNAcentral.